Molecule: long non-coding RNA, 1171 nt
Filed under: Gadus morhua (Atlantic cod)
Lineage: Eukaryota; Metazoa; Chordata; Actinopteri; Gadiformes; Gadidae
Description: lncRNA (ENSGMOG00000033434.1)
Source: RNAcentral
GAAAGAACAACAUACCAGACAACUGGUACAGGGGAAUGACUGAAGAUCAGAAUGCAGACCAGUCUGUCACAGAUUCCCUUUGUGCAGCUGCAGCGGAGAGCCUAGAAAGCCCAGCCCGUGGAGUGGACGAGGCUAGCAUUAGUGAUGGCUGCUCAGCUGGUGAGGAAUCAUCGGAACAAACCAGGCAGAGGCUGGAAAUUCGGGUCAGGGGGAUGAUGGAGGGCAUCAUUGAAAAUUUACAGUCUGGGUUUGACUUGUACAAGGCUCCCAUGGAGAAGAUGCUGGCCUCCUAUGACAGAAUGACAACAGACAGCCAGCUAAUCUCUGCACUGGCCACAUUUGGCCGCAAAGUGCCCCUGCCGGAUCAGGGGCAUGGAGGAUGGCGAGAAGGGGCAUGCAAACAAGCAUGAAGAUUGGAGUGCAGCCGACAGCUGUGGCUCGUCGGAAGACGCCACUUAAAGGCAGGCGCGCCCUCAUUACUGGGCGGCCAACAAAAAGCUCAAUAAGGCCACGUUUAUACGUAGCAGGGUAUUUAUGGAAACGAAUAUUUCCCCCCCUCCGUUUUCCAAAAUAACAUUGUGCACACAACAUAGUUUUCAAAAAAGUUGUCGUUUACAGCAAAACGCAUAAAUACGCCGUCGAGCGCCAUUAUAACUAUGCCAAACCUAUGGGCGGCAGUGUAGGGAGAAGGAUAAAGCCAUGAAAGCCAAUCAGAAUCCUCAGAAUCAACAACAACGAAUAACACGAGGGUCUUCCUGUAACAAACAAACUGUAAACAUAGGGCGCUAUUGCAUAUUCUCGAAGAAAGUUGUCCAAUCCCGGGUUGCUUUAACUCACUUCAUUUAUUAUAAAGUCGUCGGCAUGUUUCGGUAUGGUAACUGAAGCUAUACGGAGGGAAUUGUAUCUAACACGAGUGAGAGAUAAUAACUCUGGCUACUACGGGACAUGGGCAAAGGCCCAUGUCCCCUCGCGGGUGUCGCUGAAAAUCUCUGGCCCCUUCUGGUAGUGUGCACAGGUAAGGGACCGUCAAGUGGGCGUGGCCUAGUGGGCGUGGUGGCUUCGACUUCUUCAGGUGAUGCCUUCUGUGGUGGAGCCGCUUUCAAUAAGGUCUUGCUCCCCUAGUGGCUAUGUAUAGUAUUUACGGCUUAUAUGUUUGGUCGUGCUUCAUUGG